Molecule: ribosomal RNA, 523 nt
Filed under: uncultured bacterium
Lineage: Bacteria
Description: bacterial SSU rRNA
Rfam family: Bacterial small subunit ribosomal RNA
Source: RNAcentral
AGAGUUUGAUCCUGGCUCAGGAUGAACGCUAGCGGCAGGCUUAACACAUGCAAGUCGAGGGGUAUUGGUUUUCGGACCAAGAGACCGGCGCACGGGUGCGUAACGCGUAUGCAAUCUACCUUUUGCAGAGGGAUAGCCCAGAGAAAUUUGGAUUAAUACCUCAUAGUAUAGUGAGUUGGCAUCAACACACUAUUAAAGUCACAACGGCAAAAGAUGAGCAUGCGUCCCAUUAGCUAGAUGGUAAGGUAACGGCUUACCAUGGCAACGAUGGGUAGGGGUCCUGAGAGGGAGAUCCCCCACACUGGUACUGAGACACGGACCAGACUCCUACGGGAGGCAGCAGUGGGGAAUAUUGCGCAAUGGGCGAAAGCCUGACGCAGCAACGCCGCGUGAGUGAUGAAGGCCUUCGGGUCGUAAAGCUCUGUCGGGAGGAACGAAUGCUCCUGAGGUUAACAGCCUCGGGAGGUGACGGUACCUUCAAAGGAAGCACCGGCUAACUCUGUGCCAGCAGCCGCGGUAAUUC